Molecule: ribosomal RNA, 546 nt
Filed under: Triticum aestivum (bread wheat)
Lineage: Eukaryota; Viridiplantae; Streptophyta; Magnoliopsida; Poales; Poaceae
Description: partial small subunit ribosomal RNA
Source: RNAcentral
AUGAUGGAGCCGUGGCAGAACUGGCAGAAGGAUCGCACACUCGAUAUGUUCAAGAUACCAGUGGACCAGAGUUAUUGUGAAUUGCUUCGUGAUGUACUGGAUGGUCAGUGCACUCGGACUGCCUUUGAGAAACUCGAAGGAGGUCACCCUGCUCUGAGCUUGCAUGAUGAUGAUGUUGUUUACAUCAUGGCCAAGGCUAAAGAGAUGAACCGCAGGGCAGUUGUGUUUGCUGUGAACAUGAGGAACAAGGUUAUACAAGGAUUGGCUAAAUUUGAUGGAAAAAGAACAUAUGGCUUCACUGAAACCUACCUUCAAAGUGGGAUCUCCAGCUAUCUGACCGCUGAGUUGUCUGCCAGAGGGAAAGCUAGAGAUGGAAUUCCACAAGGAGGCGAUUGCAUAGCUUUGGAGCCUAUUGAUAACAUGUACAAAGGGAAGGCUGCUGAAUCAAGCAAGGAUCGAAUCACACAAGCAGGUGACAUAUCCAAAAGUAAUGCUGCUGAGUCAGGCUGGGUUCGAGUUUCAAGAGGACGCAAGCAGAAAGCUUGA